UUAGGUGUUGCUAAGUGUUAAAGUGUGUAUCUAACAUGUGCAAGGGCCUGGGUUCAAUACCCAACACCAGAA
Molecule: transfer RNA, 72 nt
Filed under: Mesocricetus auratus (golden hamster)
Lineage: Eukaryota; Metazoa; Chordata; Mammalia; Rodentia; Cricetidae
Rfam family: tRNA
About the family: Transfer RNA (tRNA) molecules are approximately 80 nucleotides in length. Their secondary structure includes four short double-helical elements and three loops (D, anti-codon, and T loops).
Source: Rfam by way of RNAcentral